RNAcentral lists this ribosomal RNA (1100 nucleotides) under Leptolyngbya sp. RA01. RNAcentral describes it as "bacterial SSU rRNA". It matches the Rfam family "Bacterial small subunit ribosomal RNA", at positions 159 to 1293 of the family's 1533-position model. The record is from RNAcentral. Lineage: Bacteria; Bacillati; Cyanobacteriota; Cyanophyceae; Leptolyngbyales; Leptolyngbyaceae.
ACUGCUAAUACCGAAUGUGCCUUAGGGUAGAAAGAUUUAUUGUCUAGAGAUUGGCUCGCGUCAGAUUAGCUAGUUGGAGUGGUAACGGCACACCAAGGCGACGAUCUGUACUUGGUCUGAGAGGAUGACCAGGCACACUGGAACUGAGACACGGUCCAGACUCCUACGGGAGGCAGCAGUGGGGAAUUUUCCGCAAUGGGCGAAAGCCUGACGGAGCAAUACCGCGUGAGGGAGGACGGCUUUUGGGUUGUAAACCUCUUUUAUCAGGGAAGAAUCGAUGACGGUACCAGAUGAAUCAGCAUCGGCUAACUCCGUGCCAGCAGCCGCGGUAAUACGGAGGAUGCAAGCGUUAUCCGGAAUUAUUGGGCGUAAAGCGUCCGUAGGUGGUUUAUCAAGUCUGCUGUCAAAGCGUGCGGCUUAACCGCAUAAGGGCAGUGGAAACUGAUGAACUAGAGUGCGAUAGGGGUAACAGGAAUUCCCAGUGUAGCGGUGAAAUGCGUAGAUAUUGGGAAGAACACCAGCGGCGAAAGCGUGUUACUGGGUCUGCACUGACACUGAGGGACGAAAGCUAGGGGAGCGAAAGGGAUUAGAUACCCCUGUAGUCCUAGCCGUAAACGAUGACAACUAGGCGUGGUUCGUAUCGACCCGAGCCGUGCCGUAGCCAACGCGUUAAGUUGUCCGCCUGGGGAGUACGCACGCAAGUGUGAAACUCAAAGGAAUUGACGGGGGCCCGCACAAGCGGUGGAGUAUGUGGUUAAUUCGAUGCAACGCGAAGAACCUUACCAAGGCUUGACAUCCUCGGAACCCUGAUGAAAGUUAGGGGUGCCUUCGGGAGCCGAGAGACAGGUGGUGCAUGGCUGUCGUCAGCUCGUGUCGUGAGAUGUUGGGUUAAGUCCCGCAACGAGCGCAACCCACGUUUUUAGUUGCCAGCAUUCAGUUGGGCACUCUAGAGAGACUGCCGGUGACAAACCGGAGGAAGGUGUGGAUGACGUCAAGUCAGCAUGCCCCAUACGCCUUGGGCUACACACGUACUACAAUGCGUCGGACAAAGAGCAGCUAGCCAGCGAUGGUGAGCCAAUCUCAUAAACCGACGCUCAGUC